Molecule: ribosomal RNA, 2450 nt
Filed under: human gut metagenome
Description: bacterial LSU rRNA
Rfam family: Bacterial large subunit ribosomal RNA
Source: RNAcentral
AGUGCAUGUGGUGGAUGCCUUGGCGAUCACAGGCGAAGAAAGACGUGGCAGCCUGCGAAAAGCUGCGGGGAGCUGGCAAACGAGCAUAGAUCCGCAGAUAUCUGAAUGGGGGAACCCAGCCCGAUAAGGGUUAUUGCAUGAUGAAUCCAUAGUCAUGCGAGGCGAACGAGGAGAACUGAAACAUCUAAGUAUCCUCAGGAAAAGAAAUCAACCGAGAUUCCGGCAGUAGCGGCGAGCGAACCCGGAGGAGCCUAGUUUUUGAUAGUUUGGAUGAUAGAAGAAUGAGAUGGAAAGCUCAGCCAAAGAAGGUGAUAGCCCUGUAUUUAAAAUUGUCCGAAUGGUACUAAGGAAACGAGAAGUAAGGCGGGACACGAGGAAUCCUGUCUGAAGAUGGGGGGACCAUCCUCCAAGGCUAAAUACUAGUGAUCGACCGAUAGUGAACCAGUACCGUGAGGGAAAGGCGAAAAGAACCCCGGGAGGGGAGUGAAAUAGAACCUGAAACCGCAUGCAUACAAACAGUAGGAGCCUUUUUUGAGGUGACUGCGUACCUUUUGCAUAAUGGGUCAGCGACUUACAUUCUGUGGCGAGGUUAACCGGAUAGGGAAGCCGAAGCGAAAGCGAGUUCGAAUAGAGCGAAAAGUCGCAGGGUGUAGACCCGAAACCAGAUGAGCUAUCCAUGGCCAGGUUGAAGGUGUGGUAACACACACUGGAGGACCGAACCGACUAGUGUUGCAAAAUUAGCGGAUGAGCUGUGGAUAGGGGUGAAAGGCCAAACAAAUCUGGAGAUAGCUGGUUCUCCCCGAAAACUAUUGAGGUAGUGCCUCGUGUUGAGGCUCCAGGGGGUAGAGCACUGUUUUGGCUAGGGGGACAUGUAGUCUUACCAAACCAAGGCAAACUCCGAAUACCUGGAAGCUAUACACGGGAGACAGAGCACCGGGUGCUAACGUCCGGACUCAAAAGGGAAACAACCCAGACCGCCGGCUAAGGUCCCCAAUAGCAGCUAAGUGGAAAACGAAGUGGAAAGGCCGUGACAACCAGGAAGUUGGCUUAGAAGCAGCCAUCCUUCAAAGAAAGCGUAAUAGCUCACUGGUCGAGUCUUUCUGCGCGGAAGAUGUAACGGGGCUAAGCUGCUAACCGAAGCCGCGGAUGCAUGGAAAAAUCCAUGCGUGGUAGGGGAGCGUUCUGUAAGUCUGAGAAGGCGGAUUGAGAAGUCUGCUGGAGAUAUCAGAAGUGCGAAUGCUGACAUGAGUAACGUUAAAGAGGGUGAAAAGCCCUCUCGCCGCAAGCCCAAGGUUUCCUGCUCUACGUUCAUCGGAGCAGGGUGAGUCGGCCCCUAAGGUCAGGCCGAAAGGCGUAGCCGAUGGGAACCGGGUUAAUAUUCCCGGACCGCUGUCAGAUGCGAAGGGGUGACGGAGAGGCUAAGGUCAUCCGAGUGUUGGACUACUCGGUACUUAGACGAGGACGGUUGGCAGGCAAAUCCGCCAACGGAUCGUCCGGAUCGGAAGUGGUGCUCCCACGGGAGCGAAGUGAUUGGAAACUCUUCCAGGAAAAACCUCUAAGCUACAGUCUGACAGGACCGUACCGUAAACCGACACUGGUGGGCGAGCUGAAUAUGCUCAGGCGCUUGAGAGAACUCGGGAGAAGGAACUCGGCAAAUUGACACCGUAACUUCGGAAGAAGGUGUGCCGCAGUAGCGUGAGAGGAGAAACACCUUGAGCGUGAGACGGUCUCAGAGAAUAGGUGGCUGCGACUGUUUAUUAAAAACACAGCACUCUGCAAAGUCGAAAGACGACGUAUAGGGUGUGAUGCCUGCCCGGUGCUGGAAGAUUAAUUGAUGGGCUGAGAGGCCUUGAUCGAAGUCCCAGUAAACGGCGGCCGUAACUAUAACGGUCCUAAGGUAGCGAAAUUCCUUGUCGGGUAAGUUCCGACCUGCACGAAUGGCAUAACGAUGGCCACACUGUCUCCUCCCGAGACUCAGUGAAGUUGAAGUGUUUGUGAUGAUGCAAUCUACCCGCGGCUAGACGGAAAGACCCCAUGAACCUUUACUGCAGCUUUGCAUUGAACUGUGAACCGAUUUGUGUAGGAUAGGUGGGAGACAGAGAAGGAGGAGCGCCAGCUCCUCUGGAGUCAACCUUGAAAUACCACCCUGAUUUGUUUGCGGUUCUAACCAAGACAGGAGCACACUGUUUGGGACCGUGCAUGGUAGGCAGUUUGACUGGGGCGGUCUCCUCCUAAAGGGUAACGGAGGAGUACGAAGGUACGCUAGGUACGGUCGGAAAUCGUGCUGAUAGUGCAAUGGCAAAAGCGUGCUUGACUGCGAGAGCCACAACUCGAGCAGAUGCGAAAGCAGGUCAUAGUGAUCCGGUGGCACUGAAUGGAAGGGCCAUCGCUCAACGGAUAAAAGGUACUCUGGGGAUAACAGGCUGAUACCGCCCAAGAGUUCAUAUCGA